This 361-nucleotide ribosomal RNA is filed under the name uncultured bacterium. Its description in RNAcentral is "bacterial SSU rRNA". It matches the Rfam family "Bacterial small subunit ribosomal RNA", at positions 8 to 353 of the family's 1533-position model. The record is from RNAcentral.
AGAGUUUGAUCCUGGCUCAGGAUGAACGCUAGCUACAGGCUUAACACAUGCAAGUCGAGGGGAAACGACAUCGAAAGCUUGCUUUUGAUGGGCGUCGACCGGCGCACGGGUGAGUAACGCGUAUCCAACCUGCCCACCACUUGGGGAUAACCUUGCGAAAGUAAGACUAAUACCCAAUGAUAUCUCUAGAAGACAUCUGAAAGAGAUUUAAAGAUUUAUCGGUGAUGGAUGGGGAUGCGUCUGAUUAGCUUGUUGGCGGGGUAACGGGCCCCACCCAAGGCAACGAUCAGUAGGGGUUCUGAGAGGAAGGUCCCUCCACAUUGGAACUGAGACACGGUCCAAACUCCUACGGGAGGCAGCA